This 253-nucleotide ribosomal RNA is filed under the name uncultured bacterium. RNAcentral describes it as "partial 16S ribosomal RNA". It matches the Rfam family "Bacterial small subunit ribosomal RNA", at positions 524 to 776 of the family's 1533-position model. The record is from RNAcentral.
UACGUAGGGGGCGAGCGUUGUCCGGAUUCAUUGGGCGUAAAGCGCUUUAAGGCGGUUCGCUAAGUCGCGUGUGAAACCUCCAGGCUCAACCUCGAGACGUCGGUUGAAACCGUCUGGCUAGAGUCCGGAAGAGGAGAGUGGAAUUCCCGGUGUAGCGGUGAAAUGCGCAGAUAUCGGGAAGAACACCCGUGGCGAAGGCGGCUCUCUGGGACGGUACUGACGCUGAGACGCGAAAGCGUGGGGAGCGAACAGG